RNAcentral lists this long non-coding RNA (424 nucleotides) under Salmo salar (Atlantic salmon). RNAcentral describes it as "lncRNA (ENSSSAG00000089121.1)". Lineage: Eukaryota; Metazoa; Chordata; Actinopteri; Salmoniformes; Salmonidae. The record is from RNAcentral.
CAGCGUUCCAUUGGAAAUGAAUGUACUUCUGGUGUAUCGAAACGCAAAAACACAGUCGGUGUGUUCGAAGCGUUAGAACGCAGAUGCUGGUUGGCGCGCGCGAGCAGUGGGAACACUCUGGCACUGUUCCCCGGGCAAGCCUAUCAGAUGGCCGUGUCUUGGCAGGUGAUACUGCACGUGUGAGAGCACACUCUGCACGUCAACAAUGCCACUUCAGCAGAUAAUGGUGUCUCCUGGCCUGAAGGAAGUUCACACCGUCUGUCUGGUGCCACCUGCUGAGAUGACGGAUGGGUGUGAAGAGCAAAACAUCUGGACUGAGGAUGUGCGGCCUCCUGGCUGCUGAUGCUGCUGCUGCUGCUGCCCAGCUGUGUGUGGCCUGCCUGGGCCAGCCUGGGCUCUGAUUACUGGCCAUCUGCAGCAGCAG